UGGCGUUGACUCCAAUUGAACCGCAGGCUCAUCCCUUGUGGUGCUCCCCCGCCAAUUCCUUUAGUUUCAUACUUGCGUACGUACUUCCCAGGCGGCAGACUUAACGGCUUCCCUGCGGCACUGCAUUGGCCACAAGCCAAUGCAUCACCGAGUCUGCAUCGUUUACAGCUGGGACUACCCGGGUAUCUAAUCCGGUUUGCUCCCCCAGCUUUCAUCCCUCACCGUCGAACGUGUUCUGGUACACCGCCUUCGCCACAGGUGGUCUUCAAUAGAUCAAAGGAUUUUACCCCUUCCUAUCGAGUACCGUGUACCUCUCCCACUCCCUAGCUGCACAGUAUUUUCGGCGGCCUAUACGUUAAGCGCAUAGAUUUAACCGAAAACUUAUGCAACCGGCUACGGAUGCUUUAGGCCCAAUAAACCUCCUGACCACUCGAGGUGCUGGUUUUACCGCGGCGGCUGACACCAGAACUUGCCCACCCCUUAUUCACCAGUGAUUCUACAACUGACAAAAGACUCCUUUAGCAGGAGACACUCGGAUUAACCUUGUCGUGCUUUCGCACAUUGCAAAGGUUUCUCGCCUGCUGCGCCCCAUAGGGCCUGGGUCCGUGUCUCAGUNACCAUCUCCGGGCCCCUCC
Molecule: ribosomal RNA, 635 nt
Filed under: uncultured archaeon
Lineage: Archaea
Description: partial 16S ribosomal RNA
Source: RNAcentral